Non-coding RNA from Pelobates cultripes (western spadefoot toad), 540 nucleotides. NCBI's taxonomy places the organism in Eukaryota, Metazoa, Chordata, Amphibia, Anura, Pelobatidae. The record is from the annotation of a GenBank genome assembly.
AGUAUUUUUGUGUUAUCAAGUCAGAUUAAGAUAUUUCUUAAAUGCUUUAAUUCCAACCUACGCGAAAAAGCAACCUCUUUUAUAAUGCUUCUGUAGAAAGCAGUAGAAUGUGGUAUGAAAAGUAAUAACUCAAAUGUUACCAGUAAAGCUUAAAGGACAACUGUUACCUCAACACUAUUUAAUAUUAUCUUUCAUCACGUUUUGAAAGGAAAUAGAUUUUUUUUAAUAUUAAGUAUAUGUAAAUAAGUGAGACAAACUCACCCCUAUCUUUAGUAUAUGACUGGAGGUUUCAGCCAUAUUCAUGCACCUUGGGUCGGACAGUGUUUGGAAAACAACAGUUAGUCUCUAUGGUCUUCCCUGCUAAUGUGCAAAGACUGUCGUUUUUCAAACAGUGUCUGACCCAAGGUGCAUAUAUAUAUGGCUGAAAGAUCUGGUCAUGUACUGAAGGUAAGGAAGAGUUUUAAUAUACUUUAUUUUAAAAAGAAAAACAAUCCUUUUAUAAUUCAAUGAAAGGAUAAUUACAUUAAAAAUUGUUUUGAG